UCCGGCGAUACCAUACUGAAUAUACCGGUUCUCGUUAGAUCACCGAAGUCAAGCAUCAUUGGGCGCGGUCAGUACUUGGGUGGGUGACUACCUGGGAACACCGCGUGCCGUU
Molecule: ribosomal RNA, 112 nt
Filed under: Caerostris extrusa
Lineage: Eukaryota; Metazoa; Arthropoda; Arachnida; Araneae; Araneidae
Source: RNAcentral